GGAACACUAUCCGACUGGCACCCGUUUAUCGCGGGUGGGGAGUGCCUAGAAGUGGGUAGGUCUUAUCGUGCCAGCACCGACAAAGAACGGUAAGCCUUGGGCCUGAAGUUCAGCUGCUGUCGGUGAACGGCUUGCCGAGAGAAAUGAUUCAUCUUUCCCUCAGCUGGUGAAUCACGGCACCGACAUGAGUUUUGUGCUUUUAGGUUUCUUGAGGAGGCUGUUAGAGUGUACGGUUAUCAUAGACCGCCUAGGCCUUGGUCA
Molecule: unclassified non-coding RNA, 261 nt
Filed under: synthetic construct
Source: RNAcentral